Molecule: transfer RNA, 65 nt
Filed under: Cordylochernes scorpioides
Lineage: Eukaryota; Metazoa; Arthropoda; Arachnida; Pseudoscorpiones; Chernetidae
Description: tRNA-Thr
Source: RNAcentral
UGAAAAACAGGGGUUUAAACCCUGGAUCUUUGGUUUACAAGACCAACACCUUACCACUUGGCCAC